AGAGUUUGAUCCUGGCUCAGAUUGAACGCUGGCGGCAUGCCUUACACAUGCAAGUCGAACGGUAACAGGUCUUCGGAUGCUGACGAGUGGCGAACGGGUGAGUAAUACAUCGGAACGUGCCCGAUCGUGGGGGAUAACGAAGCGAAAGCUUUGCUAAUACCGCAUACGAUCUACGGAUGAAAGCAGGGGACCGCAAGGCCUUGCGCGAACGGAGCGGCCGAUGGCAGAUUAGGUAGUUGGUGGGAUAAAAGCUUACCAAGCCGACGAUCUGUAGCUGGUCUGAGAGGACGACCAGCCACACUGGGACUGAGACACGGCCCAGACUCCUACGGGAGGCAGCAGUGGGGAAUUUUGGACAAUGGGCGAAAGCCUGAUCCAGCCAUGCCGCGUGCAGGAUGAAGGCCUUCGGGUUGUAAACUGCUUUUGUACGGAACGAAAAGACUCUGGUUAAUACCUGGGGUCCAUGACGGUACCGUAAGAAUAAGCACCGGCUAACUACGUGCCAGCAGCCGCGGUAAU
Molecule: ribosomal RNA, 519 nt
Filed under: uncultured bacterium
Lineage: Bacteria
Description: bacterial SSU rRNA
Rfam family: Bacterial small subunit ribosomal RNA
Source: RNAcentral